Molecule: ribosomal RNA, 253 nt
Filed under: uncultured bacterium
Lineage: Bacteria
Description: partial 16S ribosomal RNA
Rfam family: Bacterial small subunit ribosomal RNA
Source: RNAcentral
UACGGGGGGAGCAAGCGUUGUUCGGAUUCAUUGGGCGUAAAGGGUGCGUAGGCGGCGCGGUAAGUCGGGUGUGAAAUCUCGGAGCUUAACUCCGAAACUGCAUUCGAUACUGCCGUGCUCGAGGACUGGAGAGGAGACUGGAAUUUACGGUGUAGCGGUGAAAUGCGUAGAUAUCGUAAGGAAGACCAGUGGCGAAGGCGGGUCUCUGGACAGUUCCUGACGCUGAGGCACGAAGGUCAGGGGAGCAAACGGG